This is a small nuclear RNA of Equus caballus (horse), 103 nucleotides long. The record is from Ensembl. Lineage: Eukaryota; Metazoa; Chordata; Mammalia; Perissodactyla; Equidae.
GUGCUUUGCCAGCUCAUAUAUUAAAAUUAGAAAGAUGUGGAGAAGAUUAUCAUGGUCUCUGGGCAAGAAUGACAAGUAAAUUCAUGCAGAGUCUCAUAUUUUU